GUGCUUGCUUUGGCAGCACAUAUACUAAAAAUUGGAAUGAUACAGAGAAGAUCAGCAUGGCCCCUGCUCAAGGAUUACCCUCAAAUUUGUGAAGCAUUCCAUAUUUUU
Eubalaena glacialis (North Atlantic right whale) is the source of this 108-nucleotide small nuclear RNA. The record is from RefSeq and is a predicted model, not a curated record. NCBI's taxonomy places the organism in Eukaryota, Metazoa, Chordata, Mammalia, Artiodactyla, Balaenidae.